RNAcentral lists this ribosomal RNA (3739 nucleotides) under Candidatus Velamenicoccus archaeovorus. RNAcentral describes it as "Vampirococcus sp. LiM 23S ribosomal RNA". It matches the Rfam family "Bacterial large subunit ribosomal RNA". The record is from RNAcentral. Lineage: Bacteria; Pseudomonadati; Candidatus Omnitrophota.
AUGUGGUCAAGCUACAAAGAGCCUAUGAGGAAUGACUUGGUCAGUUCAGGCGAAGAAGGACGUGGUAAGCGGCGAUACUCCUGGGGGAGUCGCAAACAGGCUUUGAUCCCAGGGUUUCCGAAUGGGGCAACCCUUCCUGAGUCAUGUCAGGAAACAUCUCCGUAAAUCAAAUAGCGGAGGAUGAGCCAAACCGGGGGAAGUGAAACAUCUCAGUACCCCGAGGAAAAGAAACCGCAUGGUAUUCCCUUAGUAGCGGCGAGCGAAGCGGGAAAAGCCUAAAUCCCGGUGACGCAAUAGUCUGCAUGCGUUGUCAUCGGGAAGUUGUGGGACUAUCCGGACGGACAUGCAGGUCCGUCGGAGAGUUACAAAAUUCUUGUUUAGCAGAAAGACCUGGAAUGGUCUGCCAAAGAGGGUGAAAGCCCCGUAUGCGAAAAGCAAGGAUCUCUCUGGGAUGGUAUCCCAAGUACUACGGGGCACGUGGAAUCCCGUAGGAAUCCGCCCUGACCACAGGGUAAGGCUAAAUACUAGAACUGGACCGAUAGUGGACAAGUACCGUGAGGGAAAGUUGAAAAGAACCCCGGGAGGGGAGUGAAAUAGAACCUGAAUUCAUAGGCUUACAAGCGGUCGGAGCCCUAUGCUCUUGCGCAAGCGAGAGAACGGGUUACGGCGUGCCUUUUGCAUAAUGAACCGGCGAGUUAUACUAGUAAGCAAGCUUAAUCCUUUCUAAGGGGAGGAGGCGCAGGGAAACCGAGUCCGAAUAGGGCGACAAGUUUGCUGGUAUAGACCCGAAGCUGAGUGAUCUACCCAUGGCCAGUGCGAAGUCUGCCGAAAGGCAGAUGGAGGUACGAACCCAUGACUGUUGAAAAAGUCCGGGAUGAGCUGUGGGUCGGAGUGAAAGGCUAAUCAAACUCAGUAAUAGCUGGUUCUCCUCGAAACGUCUUUAGGGACGGCCUUGAGUCAAUGAGCGAUGAGGGUAGAGUGCUGAAUGGGCUAGGGACCCCACCAGGUUGCCAAACCCAACCAAACUCCGAAUAUCAUCGUUUCUUAUCUCAGGAGACAGACAGUGCGGGCUAAGCUGCAUUGUCAAAAGGGAGACAGCCCAGACCGCCAGUUAAGGUCCCAAAGGAUAGGCUAAGUGGUAAAGGAUGUGGGACAACACGGACAACCAGGAUGUUGGCUCAGAGGCAGCCAUCAUUUAAAGAGUGCGUAACAGCUCACUGGUCGAGUUGCCCUGCGCCCAAGAUAAUCGGGGCUCAAGCCUAUUACCGAAACUGCGGAAAUGUUUCGGCCUGCGUGCCGGAACGUUUGGUAGAGGAGCGUACUGUUGUAGGUUGAAGGUGGAUCGAGAGGACCACUGGACGAAGCAGUAGUGAUUAUGUCGGUAUGAGUAGCGAAAAUCACGGCGAGAAACCGUGAGGCCGAAAGUCUAAGGUUUCCUGGGGAAGGUUAAUCCGCCCAGGGUGAGUCGAUCCUAAGCCGAGGCUGUUGAACGCGUAGGCGAUGGAAAUCCGGUUAAUAUUCCGGAACUGGUCAAGGGCGUUAUCACCUUGAUGUUGACGCAGGAGGUUGGGGUCAGCGGACUGUUGGAUGUGUCCGUCUAAGCUCGUAGUCCUGUCCGCAAGGGCAGGAUGAGAGGCGAAUGCGAGGCCGAUCUACGGAAAGGCCGAAGUGAUCUUAAACCACGCUGCCGAGAAAAUUCAUCAAGGGAGUUCUUGGCCAAUCGUACCGCAAUCCGACACAGGUAGACCUCCAAAAUAUGGUAAGGCCCUCGAGAGAACCCUCGUUAAGGAACUCGGCAAUCUAGCCCCGUAAGUUAGCAAUAAGGGGUGCCUUGCGAUGUGUAGUCCUUUACGGAUGAAGCAUGGCAGGGUUUCAAUGAAGUGGCUCGGGUGACUGUUUAGCAAAAACCAAGCACUCUGCAAACUCGAAAGAGGACGUAUAGGGUGUGACACCUGCCCGGUGCUGGAAGGUUAAGGAGAGAGGUUAUCCCCGCAAGGGGAGAAGCUUCGAACCGAAGCCCCAGUGAACGGCGGCCGUAACUAUUGUUUGGACCAUCCCGUGAAGUUCCGGGACACACAGUAGUUGUAAAAUCUGGCUAUAUGCUGGAAAAUCCCGUUAAGUCAACAGUACUUUCAUCUUCAAGGUGAAAUGUGACAAUCUGUUGAAUAGGGACAAUCAGCAGGAAAGACCUGAAGAAGGAGGUCUUUAUGAAACCAGAAAUCGGCUACUACUUGGCGGGUUUUGCCGACGGAGAAGGAAGUUUUAAUAUAUCCUUCAGACAACGGCAAGACUACAAGUCACCGUGGAAAGUUUCUCUUUGUUUCAACAUCUCCCAGAAAGACAAAGUUAUCCUUGCAUUGUUCAAGCAUCAUUUAGGUUGCGGAACGUUACGAAGCCGCCCCGAUGGUGUUUGGUAUUUUGAAGUGAAUAACUUUAGGGCAAUCUGUGAGGAUGUGAUUCCUUUCUUUAAGCGAUUCCGUUUUCUUUCUGCAAAGAAAAAACGGGAUUUUGCGAAAUUCUGCGAACUGGCAGAAAUGAUAAAGAAGGGGGAACAUCUUAAGAGUAGCGGUAUUCGAAAGAUUCUUGAGAUCAGAAGAGAAAUGAACGACGGUGGCAAGCGCAAGUAUAGCGAAGCUGAAAUACUGGUGAAAUAUCAGGAAUCCUCAGAGACUAUACGCCAGACAGACGAUCAGAAGUUAUCGUCCGAUGAUAUAGUCCGGUCUUCCGAGAAAUCGGAAGUUAACACAAACGAACGGUCCUAAGGUAGCGAAAUUCCUUGUGGGGUAAGUUCCCACGCGCACGAAUGGUGUAACAACUUGAGCGCUGUCUCAACGAGGGACUCGGCGAAAUUGUGGUGACAGUGAAGACGCUGUCUACCCGCACUUGGACGAAAAGACCCCGGAACCUUUACUCUACUCUGGUAUUGAAUUUUGAUCCGAUCUGUGUAGGAUAGGUGGGAGACUUUGAAGUCCGGGCGUUAGCCCGGAUGGAGUCGUCGGUGAAAUACCACCCUUAUUGUAUUAAGAUUCUAACCUUCUGCCGUGAAUCCGGCGAAGGAACAUUGCCAGACGGGGAGUUUGACUGGGGCGGUUUCCUCCUAAAAUAUAACGGCGGAGCCCAAAGCUUACCUCAAGACGGUCGGCAAUCGUCUGUUGAGUGUAAAGGCAUAUGGUAGGUUGACUGUGAUCCCGAUAGGGAGAACAGAUGCGAAAGCAGGGCUUAGUGAUCCGGUACUAGAUAGUGGGAUUGGUAUCGCUCAACAAAUAAAAGGUACUCUGGGGAUAACAGGCUUAUCGCGCUCGAGAGUUCAUAUCGACAGCGCGGUUUGGCACCUCGAUGUCGGCUCAUCCUAUCCUGGGGCUGGAGAAGGUCCCAAGGGUCCGGCUGUUCGCCGGUUAAAAGGGUACGUGAGUUGGGUUCAGAACGUCGUGAGACAGUUCGGUCUCUAUCCAGUGUGGGCGCAAGGAAGUUUGAUGGGAGUUGUCCUUAGUACGAGAGGACCAGGACAAACGAACCUCUGGUGUUCCAGCUGUCCUGCCAAGGGCAAGGGCUGGGUAGUCAUGUUCGGAAGAGAUAAGCGCUGAAGGCAUAUAAGCGCCAAGCUCGCCCAAAGAAUAGACUUCCCGUUCGUGGCAACACGGACAUAGACACCCGGAAGACUACCGGGUCAAUAGGUCCUAAGUGUAAGAUCCGUCAAGGAUUUAAGCUUAAAGGAUACUAAUUGUCGAUCGGCUUGACC